UUCCUUUGAGUUUCAGCCUUGCGACCAUACUCCCCAGGCGGAACACUUAACGCUUUCGCUACGGCCGAGAGGAUGUGGAAGUCCCCUCAACCCAGUGUUCAUCGUUUACGGCUAGGACUACCGGGGUAUCUAAUCCCGUUCGCUACCCUAGCUUUCGUGCCUAAUCACUAGUGAAUUCGCGGCCGCCUGCAGGUCGACCAUAUGGGAGAGCUCCCAACGCGUUGGAUGCAUAGCUUGAGUAUUCUAUAGUGUCACCUAAAUAGCUUGGCGUAAUCAUGGUCAU
RNAcentral lists this ribosomal RNA (283 nucleotides) under uncultured Planctomycetota bacterium. RNAcentral's name for it is "uncultured planctomycete partial 16S ribosomal RNA". Lineage: Bacteria; Pseudomonadati; Planctomycetota. The record is from RNAcentral.